AAGCGGUGGAGUAUGUGGUUAAUUCGAUGCAACGCGAAGAACUUACCUGGUCUUGACAUCCCGGAGACCCUUAGGAAACUAGGGGUGCUUCCAUCUGGAGAAUCUGGAGACAGGUGCUGCAUGGCUGUCGUCAGCUCGUGUCGUGAGAUGUUGGGUUAAGUCCCGCAACGAGCGCAACCCUUGCCUUUAGUUGCCAGCAGUUCGGCUGGGCACUCUAAAGGGACUGCCGGUGUUAAACCGGAGGAAGGUGGGGAUGACGUCAAGUCCUCAUGGCCUUUAUGACCAGGGCUACACACGUACUACAAUGGCCGAUACAAAGGGCAGCGACACUGCGAGGUGAAGCCAAUCCCGUAAAAUCGGUCUCAGUCCGGAUUGGAGUCUGCAACUCGACUCCAUGAAGUUGGAAUCGCUAGUAAUCGUGGAUCAGCAUGCCACGGUGAAUACGUUCCCGGGCCUU
Molecule: ribosomal RNA, 457 nt
Filed under: uncultured Desulfobulbus sp.
Lineage: Bacteria; Pseudomonadati; Thermodesulfobacteriota; Desulfobulbia; Desulfobulbales; Desulfobulbaceae
Description: bacterial SSU rRNA
Rfam family: Bacterial small subunit ribosomal RNA
Source: RNAcentral